GUCUAAUCUUGGCUUGCUUUGUCACCUUGGGAAAGUUAAACGGCAUUUCUGUGCCUCCGAUUCCUCAAUUGGAAAACAAGGUCUAGCACCUGUACGCCAAGAGCUCAUACAUGACAUAGCAUGUAUGCAGCAGUCAGGCGGAAUGCCUCACACUCUAAAUGCACAGUAAAUACAGCAAACACUGCAGCGACGAGAAUACACAGCCCACACAGCAAACAAAAGGACUCUAGUGCUAGAACUUAGUCACAGCAGCUCAUCAGCAUUGAGGCACUGAGUGAGGACUUUGCCUCCAUCUCCAGAACCCAGAGCAGCUGGGUCUGGGUCAUGGUACAGUCGAUAAACAAUGGGCCGCCUCCCCUAACACUGGGCAAGAGCAACUGGAAAGGGGCUGACUGGAAGAUCAUGAGGCGAGGGAGACACAGGCUAAAGCACAGCCUUUCACAAGGAAGCCUGAGAAAGCCAGGAGACCACAGAUGGGGCAGACAAGACACGAUGUAUGCAUUUUGAUUCUUCUGAAAAUUCAGCCCACCCUUCUCUCCUACAGCCUACACAAGAAUCAGUGAGAGUGAACAAGCCAUGGUCUAUCCAACCCUGCUAGACUGCUCAGAGGACAAGAGGUCCGGAGUUGAGAACUGGGGAGACCAGAGAAACCCUGCAGACUCUCUGUGAUCCAGGGAGGAAACAGAACCUGAAGAUAAGGCCUUGAUGUUCCAGGAACACAAGAUGGGAUCUAAAGGAAACUGGGCUAGAAUUCAGCAGACCUGAGCCUCAGCAUAAAUUUGCUAAGCAAUCUUGGCAAGAUUGUGAAAGAAAAUACUUUUUAUUUCCCUGUAUUAAUCAAUAAACAAUUUACAGCAUGCACACAAUACACACAACAUAACGAGGCAUUACUAGUCACACUUUUUUCCAUUCAUCUUGACUACUUGCUUGUGCCCAAGUGAAGAAGUAACACACAUCAGAUACCUCACUAAGGAAAAAGAGUACAGAGGAGAAACCAGGCACUGGUUUUUUGCUGUCACACAAUCAAUCCCUUUCCCUCUGCUUGUGCACCCCUACUUACAUCUCUAUCGCCAAACUACAUCACAUAGUCUACCUCAGAAGGACAAGAAACCUGUGGUCACAAAACAUUAAUUAAAAGCUACUAGAACUUUUAGAAAGAGUAUGGUGCUGAUGGUAGUAGAUGACCUAAGUA
Molecule: long non-coding RNA, 1192 nt
Organism: Fukomys damarensis (Damara mole-rat)
Lineage: Eukaryota; Metazoa; Chordata; Mammalia; Rodentia; Bathyergidae
Exons: 3
Source: RefSeq, a predicted model, not a curated record